UUAAAGCUUCAUCAGAGCUUCGUGGCAGGCCUGAGCUGGAAAGAGUAAGAGCGAACACUACCACAGGUUGUUAUUCAUCCUAAUUUCGUGUGGGGGGGAGAGAUGGGUAAACUUGAGUUAUCGAAGGUGACCUCAGCCUAGAACAGUGUCCCUUGGAAACUUCUGCAGGUUUCCUGGCCAAAAAAAAUCUCUGUCAUCGAAUGUGCUUGGGCCUGGCUGGGUUACAUAAACAGGUUCCGCUGGCAUGCUAAUAACAUACAUUCUGCACCUUUCAAGAUUCAGCUUUCCCCACACUCACCUGACCCUGGCCAGGAAAUACCCAGAAGCCCCCACAGCUGGGUCCCAGGACACUAGUUGCCUUGGAACACGGGCUGAGAAAUGCUAUUGUAAAGUAAAAUUUUCUACAGUAGUGCUUCUAAAAUCGUAGUGAACCUCAGAAACACGUGGGAGGGAUGUUAAAGCACAGAUUCCGUUCCCCACUUCUGAGGUCUGCGGUGGGACCUGCGAGCCUGAUGUCUAAGAGACUCCAAGUGAAGCCGAGGAAGCGAGGGCCACACUUUGAGUGGCAUCAACAAUGCCCCACACACAUCUCAGCUGCAGGAAGCCCUCCCAGGGCCUCUGGAAAGGCUGCCUGUGGCCUCUGACACAACCACAAUUAGCUGGAGG
Molecule: long non-coding RNA, 666 nt
Organism: Pipistrellus kuhlii (Kuhl's pipistrelle)
Lineage: Eukaryota; Metazoa; Chordata; Mammalia; Chiroptera; Vespertilionidae
Exons: 2
Source: RefSeq, a predicted model, not a curated record